This 1537-nucleotide ribosomal RNA is filed under the name Escherichia coli. RNAcentral describes it as "partial 23S ribosomal RNA". It matches the Rfam family "Bacterial large subunit ribosomal RNA", at positions 323 to 1848 of the family's 2925-position model. The record is from RNAcentral. Lineage: Bacteria; Pseudomonadati; Pseudomonadota; Gammaproteobacteria; Enterobacterales; Enterobacteriaceae.
UGUGUGUUAGUGGAAGCGUCUGGAAAGGCGCGCGAUACAGGGUGACAGCCCCGUACACAAAAAUGCACAUGCUGUGAGCUCGAUGAGUAGGGCGGGACACGUGGUAUCCUGUCUGAAUAUGGGGGGACCAUCCUCCAAGGCUAAAUACUCCUGACUGACCGAUAGUGAACCAGUACCGUGAGGGAAAGGCGAAAAGAACCCCGGCGAGGGGAGUGAAAAAGAACCUGAAACCGUGUACGUACAAGCAGUGGGAGCCUCUUUUAUGGGGUGACUGCGUACCUUUUGUAUAAUGGGUCAGCGACUUAUAUUCUGUAGCAAGGUUAACCGAAUAGGGGAGCCGAAGGGAAACCGAGUCUUAACUGGGCGUUAAGUUGCAGGGUAUAGACCCGAAACCCGGUGAUCUAGCCAUGGGCAGGUUGAAGGUUGGGUAACACUAACUGGAGGACCGAACCGACUAAUGUUGAAAAAUUAGCGGAUGACUUGUGGCUGGGGGUGAAAGGCCAAUCAAACCGGGAGAUAGCUGGUUCUCCCCGAAAGCUAUUUAGGUAGCGCCUCGUGAAUUCAUCUCCGGGGGUAGAGCACUGUUUCGGCAAGGGGGUCAUCCCGACUUACCAACCCGAUGCAAACUGCGAAUACCGGAGAAUGUUAUCACGGGAGACACACGGCGGGUGCUAACGUCCGUCGUGAAGAGGGAAACAACCCAGACCGCCAGCUAAGGUCCCAAAGUCAUGGUUAAGUGGGAAACGAUGUGGGAAGGCCCAGACAGCCAGGAUGUUGGCUUAGAAGCAGCCAUCAUUUAAAGAAAGCGUAAUAGCUCACUGGUCGAGUCGGCCUGCGCGGAAGAUGUAACGGGGCUAAACCAUGCACCGAAGCUGCGGCAGCGACGCUUAUGCGUUGUUGGGUAGGGGAGCGUUCUGUAAGCCUGUGAAGGUGUGCUGUGAGGCAUGCUGGAGGUAUCAGAAGUGCGAAUGCUGACAUAAGUAACGAUAAAGCGGGUGAAAAGCCCGCUCGCCGGAAGACCAAGGGUUCCUGUCCAACGUUAAUCGGGGCAGGGUGAGUCGACCCCUAAGGCGAGGCCGAAAGGCGUAGUCGAUGGGAAACAGGUUAAUAUUCCUGUACUUGGUGUUACUGCGAAGGGGGGACGGAGAAGGCUAUGUUGGCCGGGCGACGGUUGUCCCGGUUUAAGCGUGUAGGCUGGUUUUCCAGGCAAAUCCGGAAAAUCAAGGCUGAGGCGUGAUGACGAGGCACUACGGUGCUGAAGCAACAAAUGCCCUGCUUCCAGGAAAAGCCUCUAAGCAUCAGGUAACAUCAAAUCGUACCCCAAACCGACACAGGUGGUCAGGUAGAGAAUACCAAGGCGCUUGAGAGAACUCGGGUGAAGGAACUAGGCAAAAUGGUGCCGUAACUUCGGGAGAAGGCACGCUGAUAUGUAGGUGAAGCGACUUGCUCGUGGAGCUGAAAUCAGUCGAAGAUACCAGCUGGCUGCAACUGUUUAUUAAAAACACAGCACUGUGCAAACACGAAAGUGGACGUAUAC